Molecule: ribosomal RNA, 2627 nt
Filed under: Peltula cylindrica
Lineage: Eukaryota; Fungi; Ascomycota; Lichinomycetes; Lichinales; Phylliscaceae
Description: partial small subunit ribosomal RNA
Rfam family: Eukaryotic small subunit ribosomal RNA
Source: RNAcentral
UAGAGCUAAUACAUGCCGAAAGCCCCGACCUCCGGGAGGGGUGUGUUUAUUAGAUAAAAAACCAACGCCCUCCGGGGCUCCUUGGUGAAUCAUGAUAACCUCACGAAUCGCAUGGCCUUGCGCCGGCGAUGGUUCAUUCAAAUUUCUGCCCUAUCAACUUUCGAUGGUAGGAUAGUGGCCUACCAUGGUCGCAACGGGUAACGGGGAAUUAGGGUUCUAUUCCGGAGAGGGAGCCUGAGAAACGGCUACCACAUCCAAGGAAGGCAGCAGGCGCGCAAAUUACCCAAUCCCGACACGGGGAGGUAGUGACAAUAAAUACUGAUACAGGGCUCUUUCGGGUCUUGUAAUCGGAAUGGGUACAAUCUAAACCCCUUAACGAGGAACAAUUGGAGGGCAAGUCUGGUGGACCUCUUGCGGGUCCCCGCCCAUGGGCGGGCUACUGACGCCAGCGAUAGUGGGUCGGAAGGUCCGCUAGUCGAGCACCCGCGAACAGUGAUGGGUGGGUGCCGGCCAGACAACCUGGUUCGGGGGAGGCUUCCGCCGCGCGAUGGCCUGCCGAUCCCGAGCGGAGUCGCCCUGGGGACACCCGGGACGGCCCGUGUAGAGCGCGCAAAGGUGUCGGCCGGCCUCUGAUGGCCGGCUUGAGGGACGUGCCAUUCCCGUCCGAAAGGAUGAUCUCCGCCGGAGCCCCCAUCAGGCGAGGGCGGAGCGGGGUGUCGGCUCGGGGAGCGACGCCCGGAGAGACAAGGCCAGCAGCCGCGGUAAUUCCAGCUCCAAUAGCGUAUAUUAAAGUUGUUGCAGUUAAAACGCUCGUAGUUGAACCUUGGGCCUGGCUGGCCGGUCCGCCUCACCGCGUGCACUGGACCGGCCGGGCCUUUCCUCCUGGGGAACCGCAUGCCCUUCACUGGGUGUGUCGGGGAUCCAGGACGUUUACCUUGAGAAAAUUAGAGUGUUCAAAGCAGGCCUAUGCUCGAAUACAUUAGCAUGGAAUAAUAGAAUAGGACGUGCGGUUCUAUUUUGUUGGUUUCUAGGACCGCCGUAAUGAUUAAUAGGGAUAGUCGGGGGCAUCCGUAUUCAAUUGUCAGAGGUGAAAUUCUUGGAUUUAUUGAAGACGAACUACUGCGAAAGCAUUUGCCAAGGAUGUUUUCAUUAAUCAGUGAACGAAAGUUAGGGGAUCGAAGACGAUCCGAUACCGUCGUAGUCUUAACCAUAAACCAUGCCGACUAGGGAUCGGGCGGUGUUAUUCUUUUGACCCGCUCGGCACCUUACGAGAAAUCAAAGUCUUUGGGUUCUGGGGGGAGUAUGGUCGCAAGGCUGAAACUUAAAGAAAUUGACGGAAGGGCACCACCAGGCGUGAACGCAGUCGCCGCCGACUCUGCGCCUCAGAGCAGCCCGGAAGGGUGCGGUGGUCCGCCCGGCAGAUCAAGUGCUAGUUCGCCUCGUUGACCGGGCGAGCGACACGCUCAAAUUGCGGGGACUCCCUAAAGCUCCAGCUACCAAGCCGGCCUGGAGGGUCGGUGGCCGGGUUAGUCGCCCAGGGUACGGUAACAGUGCUGGAGAUGUGACAAUGGGUGAUCCGCAGCCAAGCCUCCACGGUAGGGGAAGGUUCAGAGACUAGAUGGGUGUGGGUUGGCCCCUCCUGACCGGGAGGGGUGGCCUAAGGUAUAGUCCAUCCGUCCACCCGAGAGGGGAUGGGACAGUGGCUCGGCCGCUGCGCAGGAUGGGAGCCUGCGGCUUAAUUUGACUCAACACGGGGAAACUCACCAGGUCGAUGGUCUGGGCCUGGGAAAGCGAUGCCACGCUGUCGCGUCGCUAGUGCUGCACCCUCCGUGUGGGGGAGUCCCCGAGUCUGGGCAUGGACGGCGCCACUUUGCGGGUGCCGGUGCAGCGCAACACCAGCUGGUACAGGGGACGCCUAGGUUCCGUGGUCGACGCCACUCCGGGCCAAUCCUGUGGCGAGCCCCCGACGGGGGGCCGUUGCAACGCGCGCCAAGCGGUGGGUCCCCCCUCUUGCGGGGGGCUUGAGGUACGUGCUAAUCCCAUGGGUAACUGUGCCCUGGUAGCAAGGCCCAGACGCCGAAGCACCGGGGGUCCUCCCUUCCAUUGUCGGGUGGAUGGUGUGGCAGAAUUGCCAGACACAAUAAGGAUUGACAGAUUGAGAGCUCUUUCUUGAUUUUUCAGAUGGUGGUGCAUGGCCGUUCUUAGUUGGUGGAGUGAUUUGUCUGCUUAAUUGCGAUAACGAACGAGACCUUGACCUGCUAACUAGCCCGGCUGGCUGCUGCUGGUCGCCGGCUUCUUAGAGGGACUAUCGGCUCAAGCCGAUGGAAGUUCGAGGCAAUAACAGGUCUGUGAUGCCCUUAGAUGUUCCGGGCUGCACGCGCGCUACACUGACAGAGCCAACGAGUUCUUUUCCUUGGCCGAAAGGCCUGGGUAAUCUUGCGAAACUCUGUCGUGCUGGGGAUAGAGCAUUGCAACUAUUGCUCUUCAACGAGGAAUGCCUAGUAAGCGCAUGUCACUAGCAUGCGUUGACUACGUCCCUGCCCUUUGUACACACCGCCCGUCGCUACUACCGAUUGAAUGGCUCAGUGAGGCGUUCGGACUGGCUAGGAGCAGUUGGCAACAGCCGC